CCUACGGGUGGCAGCAGUGGGGAAUAUUGCACAAUGGGGGAAACCCUGAUGCAGCGACGCCGCGUGAGUGAAGAAGUAAUUCGUUAUGUAAAGCUCUAUCAGCAGGGAAGAAAAUGACGGUACCUGAGUAAGAAGCCCCGGCUAACUACGUGCCAGCAGCCGCGGUAAUACGUAGGGGGCAAGCGUUAUCCGGAUUUACUGGGUGUAAAGGGAGCGUAGACGGUCCUGCAAGCCAGAUGUGAAAGCCCGGGGCUCAACCCCGGGACUGCAUUUGGAACUGUAAGGCUAGAGUGUCGGAGAGGCAGGCGGAAUUCCGAGUGUAGCGGUGAAAGGCGUAGAUAUUAGGAGGAACACCGAUUGCGAAGGCAGCUUACCAAUCUAUAUCUGACGUUGAGGCACGAAAGCGUGGGGAGCAAACAGGAUUAGAUACCCGAGUAGUC
This 440-nucleotide ribosomal RNA is filed under the name uncultured bacterium. RNAcentral describes it as "partial 16S ribosomal RNA". It matches the Rfam family "Bacterial small subunit ribosomal RNA", at positions 338 to 795 of the family's 1533-position model. The record is from RNAcentral.